UGCGCUCUCUCCAGCCGCCGCUCGGGAGCGGAGCAGCGGGCGGCGGGACCCGCGACCCAGCGCGGCGCCGGCGAACGCGACGCGGGCCCCUCAAGAUCCCCGGCGCCCCGCCUCCGGAGCAGCCCCUGCCGCCGCGCGGACCCGCGCCGCGGAGAAGGUUGGUCCCUGCACCCGAGCGGAGAGGCGGGCGGCCCCGGUGAGCGCCCGGAGCCCCGGCCCCAGCGCGGGGCCUCGCGGGGCGCAGACCUGCUGAGCCUGCGGCCGGCGCGAAGGGUGGCCGUAGGAGGAAGGGAGGAGAGUAAAUGAAGAGAAAGAACUUGAAUAGCUCCUUCCAGAAGCAAAGGGGAAGCCAGCUUGGCUGCAGACCCCAGUCUUACGAAGCAGCAGCCCCACCUGGGAGCAGGGUGGUGGCCAGAGCAACGGUGGGAGCCCUGAAGAUGCCUCAUGGCUGCUGAGCGGGCUGCCCCGGCAGGGAGCAGGGUGGCGGGUAUGGUGUGUGGCCUGUGGGUCCUGGCGCUGGUGUCCUCCGUCCUGGCUCUGGAAGAGGUAUUGCUGGACACCACCGGAGAGACGUCUGAGAUUGGCUGGCUCACCUACCCACCAGGUGGGUGGGACGAAGUGAGUGUUCUGGAUGACCAGCAACGCCUGACUCGGACCUUCGAGGCAUGCCACGUGGCCGGGGCCCCUCCAGGCCCCGGGCAGGACAACUGGCUGCAGACACACUUUGUGGAGCGGCGAGGGGCCCAGAGGGCGCACAUCCGGAUGCAGUUCUCCGUGCGGGCCUGCUCCAGCCUGGGCGUGGCGGGGGGCACCUGCCGGGAGACCUUCACGCUUUACUACCGCCAGGCCGAGGAGCCCGACCGCUCCGACAGCAUCUCCCCCUGGCACCUCAAACGCUGGACCAAGGUGGACACGAUCGCGGCGGAUGAGAGUUUCCCCGCCUCCUCAGCGUGGGCGGUGGGUCCGCGCGGGGCGGGGCAGCGGGCGGGGCUGCAGCUGAACGUCAAGGAGCGGAGCUUCGGGCCCCUGACCCAGCGCGGCUUCUACGUGGCGUUCCAGGACACCGGGGCCUGCCUGGCCCUCGUGGCGGUCAAGCUCUUCUCCUACGCCUGCCCCUCCGUGCUCCGCGCCUUCGCCACCUUUCCGGAGACGCAGGCCAGUGGGGCCGGGGGGGCCUCCCUGGUGGCGGCCGCGGGCACCUGUGUGGCGCACGCCGAGCCCGAGGAGGAUGGAGGAGGGGGCCAGGCAGGAGGCAGCCCUCCCAGGCUGCACUGUAACGGGGAGGGCAAGUGGAUGGUAGCUGUUGGGGGCUGCCGCUGCCAGCCCGGGCACGAGCCUGCUCGCGGAGACAAGGCCUGCCAAGCCUGCCCCAGGGGGUCCUACAAGGCCUCGGCUGGGAAUGCCCCCUGCUCACCGUGCCCUGCCCGCAGCCUCGCCCCUGACCCUGCAGCCCCUGUGUGCCCCUGCCUGGAGGGCUUCUACCGGGCCAGCUCCGACCCCCCAGAGGCCCCCUGCACUGCCCCGCCGUCGGCCCCUCAGGAGCUGUGGUUUGAGGUGCAGGGCUCUGCGCUCAUGCUGCACUGGCGACUGCCUCAGGAGCUGGGGGGACGCGGGGACCUGCUCUUCAACGUCGUGUGCAAGGAGUGUGGAGCGGGCGGCAAGGGCCCUUGUCGCCGCUGCAGGGAUGAGGUGCAUUUCGACCCCCGCCAGAGGGGCCUGACAGAGAGCCGCGUGCUCGUUGCGGGGCUCCGGCCACACGUGCCCUACAUCUUGGAGGUGCAGGCCGUCAAUGGGGUGUCGGAGCUCAGCCCCGACCCUCCCCAGGCUGCAGCCAUCAAUGUCAGCACCAGCCACGCAGUUCCCUCUGCAGUCCCUGCUGUGCACCAGGUGAGCCGGGCCUCCAGCAGCAUCACCGUGUCCUGGCCACAGCCCGACCAGACCAACGGGAACAUCCUGGACUAUCAGCUCCGCUACUACGACCAGGCAGAAGACGAAUCCCGCUCCUUCACCCUGACCAGCGAGACCAACACAGCCACCGUGACCCAGCUGAGCCCCGGCCACAUCUAUGGCUUCCAGGUGCGGGCACGGACAGCCGCAGGCCACGGCCCGUACGGGGGCAAGGUCUACUUCCAGACGCUGCCCCAAGGCGAGCUGUCCGCGCAGCUUCCCGAGAGACUCUCCCUGGUGCUUGGGUCCGUCCUGGGGGCGCUGGCCUGCCUUCUGCUGGCAGCCGUCACCGUGCUGGCUCUCGUCUUCCAGAGGAAGCGGCGUGGAGCUGGCUACGUGGAGCAGCUGCAGCAGUACAGCAGCCCAGGGCUCGGGGUGAAGUACUACGUCGACCCCUCCACCCACGAGGACCCCCGCCAGGCCAUCCGAGAAUUCACCCGGGAGGUCGAUCCCACAUACAUGAAGAUCGAGGAGGUCAUUGGAGCAGGCUCCUUCGGGGAGGUGCGCCGGGGCCGCCUGCAGCCCCGGGGACGGCGGGAGCAGGCCGUGGCCAUCCAGGCCCUGUGGAGCGGAGGCGCCGAGAGCCUGCAGACGGCCUUUCUAGGCCAGGCCGCAGUGCUGGGCCAGUUUCAGCACCCCAACAUCCUGCGGCUGGAGGGCGUGGUCACCAAGAGCCAGCCCCUCAUGGUGGUGACGGAGCUCAUGGAGCUGGGCCCCCUGGACAGCUUCCUGAGGCAGCGGGAGGGCCAGUUCAGCAGCCUGCAGCUGGUGGCCAUGCAGCGGGGCGUGGCCGCCGCCAUGCACUACCUGUCCAGCUUCGCCUUCGUCCACCGUGCACUCUCUGCCCACAGCGUGCUGGUGAACAGCCACCUAGUGUGCAAAGUGGCUCGUCUGGGCCACAGUCCUCAGGGCCCAAGCUGUAUGCUUCGCUGGGCAGCCCCAGAGGUCAUUGCACACGGGAAACAUACAACAUCCAGUGACGUCUGGAGCUUUGGGAUAGUGAUGUGGGAAGUGAUGAGUUACGGAGAACGGCCCUACUGGGACAUGCGUGACCAGGAGGUACUAAAUGCAAUAGAGCAGGAGUUCCGGCUGCCCCCGCCUCCAGGCUGUCCGCCUGGACUACACCUGCUUAUGCUGGACACUUGGCAGAAGGAUCGUACCCAGCGACCUCACUUUGACCAGCUGGUGGCUGCGUUUGACAAGAUGAUCCGCAAGCCAGACACUCUGCAGGGAGCAGGGCACUCCGGCGGGAGCCCCAGGGACAGACCUUCCCAGGCCCUUCUGAACCCCGUGGCCCUGGACUUUCCCUCUCUGGACUCCCCCCAGGCCUGGCUCUCGGCCAUCGGCCUGGAGUGCUACCACGACAGCUUCUCCCGGUCUGGCCUCCACACCUUCAGUGACGUGGCUCAGCUCAGCCUGGAAGACCUGCCAACCCUGGGCGUCACCCUGGCCGGCCACCAGAAGAAGCUGCUGCACCACAUCCAGCUCCUGAAGCAGCACCUGAGGCCGCCGGGCUCCGUGGAGGUCUGAGCCCCGGGCAGAGAGCUGUGAACUGACAAUGCCCGUGACCCAGUCCUGGACGCAGGUCCACGGAGGACAUGGGAGAUGAACCAACGGUCCCCCAGCCCGAACUUGCGCCCACAGAUCCCGGAGCGAGGCCACAGGCAGCGAGGCAGCUUCUUUUCCAGCAUCACUGUGGUGGCCACGACCUGCGUGUGGGGACAGA
This is a non-coding RNA of Kogia breviceps (pygmy sperm whale), 3673 nucleotides long. Lineage: Eukaryota; Metazoa; Chordata; Mammalia; Artiodactyla; Physeteridae. The record is from RefSeq and is a predicted model, not a curated record.